Mauremys mutica (yellowpond turtle) is the source of this 1345-nucleotide long non-coding RNA. RefSeq lists it as uncharacterized. The transcript is spliced from 6 exons. The record is from RefSeq and is a predicted model, not a curated record. Lineage: Eukaryota; Metazoa; Chordata; Testudines; Geoemydidae.
CCUCUGCCCUCCCCCGCCUCGGGGCUGGGCGCGCUCGCACGCCCCUGAGGCCCCAGGCCCUUUUGGCACGCGCGGGAGGGGCGCGGCGCGAGGCGUGUCCCGUGAGCAGCGGACACGGCGCCUCCAGGCAAGUCACUCACUGCUCAGCCAGAGCGGCUGCUGCUGGGCUUGAGGAGCCGGGUGCACGAGACUUUUGCAAUUGCAAAAUUAAUGUUUGUCUUUUGCUGGUGUUGCUGCCAAGAAUCCAUGGUAAUUAUGCAAAGGAAGAGAAAUGCUGCAUAGGAGAAUGUUAUCAGAAUUUAGGAUUAACAAAAAAGCCCAGAUAUGACCGAGGGGGCUGUUUGUAGCUGUGAUAGUAUGGAUGAAUGCAUUCACUGUCCUUAAUAAAAGAGAAGAAAAGAAAGACCUCAACAGAAUAUCACUAGAGACGCAGACUUUGCUCUAAGCCAUCUGCCACUAUGUACUCAGGCUGCAAUUUUAAAACACUUUCUUAAUGCUUUUUCCCUUGAAACACAUUUUACACUAAGCAUAAAUAAAAUAAACAGUUUGACAUUUUAUGUGCAUCACAAAUAGAGAUGAGAUAGCUGCGAGUUAAUGCUUCAUACACUGAACUGCCUCUCACUUAAUAAUCAAGCCAGAAAGGGUCCUGCAGAAACCCAAAUUGAAGCAUAAAUUAGUACUGCAGUUUGUUUAUAAUAAAGUAAAAGUGAUGGAAUAUCACACUUCUUCAGUAACCAAGCACUUACUUUGAAAACUUCAUCAGUGCUUCUUCAGCAUAAACAUCUGUUACAUAGAUUCCUGACAUUCUGCCAAUGCUAGCUACCAUCAACUUAAUGUCAUACGCUGAAGAGAAGUGAUGGCAAGACCACAUGGACAGAAAUUUGCUGCUAGUUGCAUAUGCAAAUAAAGGAUUUUAAUCUUCUUCUAUUCACUAUGUAAAUCCUACUGGCAUUAACGGGAGUUAUUCAGGCAUACUGAGAGAACAGAUUCUGGAACUCUCCAGAUGUGGCUCCCUGCUCCAGAAGGAAAGAUGGUGACCUGGUCUCCCUCUCACAGAAUCCUGAGACUUGCUUGAGGACAGUUGGUGGCUGCUGCUUCACAGUGGGGGAGUGAGAGGGACAGGGAGCUGGGUCCUGGCAGCUGAGACUGCCUGACUGCUGCAGCAACAGGCUCGCAAGGAGGGAAGCCUUCGUCACUGCUACAUUGUGACAUAAUAGCUACCUGCUUAGCUUUCUCCUUCAAGACAAUAAGCUGGGAUCUGUUGAAACUCAUCACAGUCCCAAGGAAUUCCACGUUUUUGGUAAAAGUAUCUGUAUCCAGGCACUGCAGUUCCUGAACUGUCCAA